This 1439-nucleotide ribosomal RNA is filed under the name uncultured organism. RNAcentral's name for it is "16S ribosomal RNA". It matches the Rfam family "Bacterial small subunit ribosomal RNA". The record is from RNAcentral.
GACGAACGCUGGCGGCGUGCUUAACACAUGCAAGUCGAACAGAAAGGCCCUGCUUUUGUGGGGUGCUCGAGUGGCGAACGGGUGAGUAACACGUGAGUAACCUGCCCUUGACUUUGGGAUAACUUCAGGAAACUGGGGCUAAUACCGGAUAGGAGCUCCUGCUGCAUGGUGGGGGUUGGAAAGUUUCGGCGGUUGGGGAUGGACUCGCGGCUUAUCAGCUUGUUGGUGGGGUAGUGGCUUACCAAGGCUUUGACGGGUAGCCGGCCUGAGAGGGUGACCGGCCACAUUGGGACUGAGAUACGGCCCAGACUCCUACGGGAGGCAGCAGUGGGGAAUAUUGCACAAUGGGCGGAAGCCUGAUGCAGCAACGCCGCGUGCGGGAUGACGGCCUUCGGGUUGUAAACCGCUUUCGCCUGUGACGAAGCGUGAGUGACGGUAAUGGGUAAAGAAGCACCGGCUAACUACGUGCCAGCAGCCGCGGUGAUACGUAGGGUGCGAGCGUUGUCCGGAUUUAUUGGGCGUAAAGGGCUCGUAGGUGGUUGAUCGCGUCGGAAGUGUAAUCUUGGGGCUUAACCCUGAGCGUGCUUUCGAUACGGGUUGACUUGAGGAAGGUAGGGGAGAAUGGAAUUCCUGGUGGAGCGGUGGAAUGCGCAGAUAUCAGGAGGAACACCAGUGGCGAAGGCGGUUCUCUGGGCCUUUCCUGACGCUGAGGAGCGAAAGCGUGGGGAGCGAACAGGCUUAGAUACCCUGGUAGUCCACGCUGUAAACGGUGGGUACUAAGUGGGGGGUCCAUUCCACGGGUUCCGUGCCGUAGCUAACGCUUUAAGUACCCCGCCUGGGGAGUACGGCCGCAAGGCUAAAACUCAAAGGAAUUGACGGGGCCCCGCACAAGCGGCGGAGCAUGCGGAUUAAUUCGAUGCAACGCGUAGAACCUUACCUGGGUUUGACAUGGAUCGGGAGUGCUCAGAGAUGGGUGUGCCUCUUUUGGGGUCGGUUCACAGGUGGUGCAUGGCUGUCGUCAGCUCGUGUCGUGAGAUGUUGGGUUAAGUCCCGCAACGAGCGCAACCCUUGUUCACUGUUGCCAGCACGUUAUGGUGGGGACUCAGUGGAGACCGCCGGGGUCAACUCGGAGGAAGGUGGGGAUGACGUCAAGUCAUCAUGCCCCUUAUGUCCAGGGCUUCACGCAUGCUACAAUGGCUGGUACAGAGAGUGGCGAGCCUGUGAGUGUGAGCGAAUCUCGGAAAGCCGGUCUCAGUUCGGAUUGGGGUCUGCAACUCGACCUCAUGAAGUCGGAGUCGCUAGUAAUCGCAGAUCAGCAACGCUGCGGUGAAUACGUUCCCGGGGCUUGUACACACCGCCCGUCAAGUCAUGAAAGUUGGUAACACCCGAAGCCGGUGGCCUAACCGUUGUGGGGGAGCCGUCGAAGGUGGGACUGGUGA